Molecule: unclassified non-coding RNA, 277 nt
Filed under: Hevea brasiliensis (rubber tree)
Lineage: Eukaryota; Viridiplantae; Streptophyta; Magnoliopsida; Malpighiales; Euphorbiaceae
Source: RNAcentral
GGCUGCUGUUGGUGGCUGGCUGGCAUGGCUUGUUUCUUAAGUUCAUGUUCUUUUUUGUUGUGAUUUUCGUUUUUGGUGAUGAUCGUAUGUACUUAAUGCUGGGAAUUUUGAUUUGCUUCGCCAUGGCUGCCCCUCAGCUGGUUUUUUGAUAUCUUUGGGGUCAGAGAACUUUGAGUUCUUCAAUGAGAGAACACGGUAAUUUGCGGAAGAACUUGAAAGGUUUGGCUUUUGUUCUGCAAGGUGAAUCUGAAGAGGUUGAUUUUUGUUGGAUGGAUGU